Phyllostomus hastatus (greater spear-nosed bat) is the source of this 1435-nucleotide long non-coding RNA. RefSeq lists it as uncharacterized. The record is from RefSeq and is a predicted model, not a curated record. NCBI's taxonomy places the organism in Eukaryota, Metazoa, Chordata, Mammalia, Chiroptera, Phyllostomidae. The transcript is spliced from 4 exons.
UGCUGGGCUCCCAGGCGGUGGAGUCACCCCGGGACAGUCCUGGAGGCUCGCCGUGGGGGCUGGGAGGGAAGGCCGCACCGGCCCAGAGGAGGCUAUUGGCGACUCCAGUGGUUUCGGUUCCCGGAUUUCAAGGGACGCAGGACUGGCCAGGGGAGGAUGCGGUGUGGCACUCGUUAGCACUGAAAUCACGGGAAACGCAAAUCGAGUCUCAAACACAAUUUUUCCUCCCCGAGCUGUGAAGCGGCACAGGUGCAGUUUCAGGAAUCCACCCCAGACCCUCCCCGCUGAGGCCGCGUCCUCGCCUGGGUCCCCUGCCCCGGACACGGUGUCUCCGGUCACGGCUGAGGGGGCAGUGACAAGAAGGACCUUCUGUUGGUAAAAUGAGAAACGGCUAGGAUAUCCCUAAGACGCCUUCUAGCUGCAAAAGGUGGUGAUCUGUGACCAAGGAAGGAGGGAAAUGUGUGUGGCAUAAAGGACAGACAUUUUCUGUAACAGGCUAAGGGGCAGGACGGAGGAGCUUGGCCCCCCAACUCCACACCACGCCUUCCAAGUUCAAGCUCCUGCACGAGGGAUUCCACAACACGGGCUAAAAGGCUUCUUCGGACUUUGUGCCUGGGAAAACUGAUGUCCCGGACGGACGGGUCGGUCACUCCUCCCGAAUGUGUCAGUGGAGGUGGGCGUCUCGGUCCCGGGACUGGCUGGCCCUUCCCAGCCCGGCAAGCCUUGGGGGUCUCACCAGUCCCACCUUUGAAAAGAAGAGAGCUGCUUCUCGCUUUCCAUCAAACACAGGUCCCAAAUGGCUGCACCUGCCGAAAAGGAGAGCUUUCUGAGGGCUGAGACAGGAGGGUCUGCCUUUCCUCUUCGCUUCGAGUCCUCUUGGGCCUGCAGCCGGAGCCUCGUGGAGAGUGAAGGAGGAAAUGCCUCGGGCACUAAGGUCACAGUCUUGGGCAACAGUUUGGACCAGAAGUCAUAACGGCAUGUGUGCGUUGCACCACGUUCAGCAUCUGUUGUCGUGACACAAUCUUUACAGGCUUUUGUUAAUUUUCCCAGUGCUUAUCCGUGCCUGCGUUCUUUCCCCACAGCUGUCUGGCCUUCUUCCUGGCCAGCCUUGGUCUGAAAUGACAGCAUUUCUGAAGCUCCAGCUGGUCUCUAUCCCCAAAUAUGGAUUUGCUCCCUGGUGCCCGGAGCAUCGCUUUCAGAAUACCGGGCUCUGGCAUGUCACAAAGCAAAGAACUGUAGCACUUUGGUAAUGCAGGGUAACUCAUGCCCUGGCCGGGUGGCUCAGCUGGUUGGGGAAUCGUCCUGUAUGCCGAGAGGUUGCGGGUUCGAUUCCUGGUCCGGGCACCUACGGGAGGCAACUGGUCAGUGUUUCUCUCUCACAUUGAUGUCUCUGUCUGUCUGUUCGUCUCUCGCUCUCUCCAAAAUCAAUAAUAAA